UAAACGACUCUCGGCAACGGAUAUCUCGGCUCACGCAUCGAUGAAGAACGUAGCAAAAUGCGAUACUUGGUGUGAAUUGCAGAAUCCCGUGAACCAUCGAGUUUUUGAACGCAAGUUGCGCCCGAAGCCUUCUGGCUGAGGGCACGUCUGCCUGGGCGUCACG
Molecule: ribosomal RNA, 163 nt
Filed under: Lasthenia californica
Lineage: Eukaryota; Viridiplantae; Streptophyta; Magnoliopsida; Asterales; Asteraceae
Also listed under: 8 other names
Description: 5.8S ribosomal RNA
Rfam family: 5.8S ribosomal RNA
About the family: 5.8S ribosomal RNA (5.8S rRNA) is a component of the large subunit of the eukaryotic ribosome. It is transcribed by RNA polymerase I as part of the 45S precursor that also contains 18S and 28S rRNA.
Source: RNAcentral